This 657-nucleotide unclassified non-coding RNA is filed under the name Melitaea cinxia (Glanville fritillary). RNAcentral's name for it is "misc RNA ENSMCXG00005004999.1". Lineage: Eukaryota; Metazoa; Arthropoda; Insecta; Lepidoptera; Nymphalidae. The record is from RNAcentral.
UUUUCACUACAUACCUCUUUGGAGGUUCCUUAAUCAUUUAAGACGUUUGUAGUAACCGUAAAGACCAUCCAUAUGUAGAGGCUCACACGGAACAUGUAGAAAUCGAUAUUUUCGUACUUUCUCGGCUGUCUCUUCAAUUUUCAGUAAGUUUUAUUCAACUACAAACGAAAGUCUUUUCACUACAAACCUCUUUGGAGGUCCCUCAAUGAUUUAUGACGUUUGUAGUAAUUGUAAAGAUCCUCCAUCGGUAACUGGCUCGCACCGAAUCAGUCGAAGUCGAAGUUUUCGUACUCCCGCGGAUCUCACUUCAAUUGUCUGUAAGUUUUAUUCAACUACAAACGAAAUUUUUUUCACUACGUACCUCUUUGGAGGUUCCUUAAUCAUUUAAGACGUUUUUAGUAACCGUAAAGACCAUCCAUAUGUAGAGGCUCACACGGAACAUGUAGAAAUCGAUAUUUUCGUACUUCCUCGGCUGUCUCUUCAAUUUUCAGUAAGUUUUAUUCAACUACAAACAAAAGUCUUUUCACUACAAACCUCUUUGGAGGUCCCUCAAUGAUUUAUGACGUUUGUAGUAAUCGUAAAUACCAUCCAUCGGUAACUGGCUCGCACCGAAUCAGUCGAAGUCGAAGUUUUCGUACUCCCGCGGGUCUCACUUCA